This 492-nucleotide ribosomal RNA is filed under the name uncultured bacterium. Its description in RNAcentral is "partial 16S ribosomal RNA". It matches the Rfam family "Bacterial small subunit ribosomal RNA", at positions 28 to 523 of the family's 1533-position model. The record is from RNAcentral.
GACGAACGCUGGCUGCGUGCUUAACACAUGCAAGUCGAACGCUGAAACCCUGGUGCUUGCACCGGGGUGGAUGAGUGGCGAACGGGUGAGUAACACGUGAGUAACCUGCCCCCGACUUCGGGAUAAGCCCGGGAAACUGGGUCUAAUACCGGAUAUGAGCGCCCCUCGCAUGAGGGAUGCUGGAAAGUCUUUUCGGUUGGGGAUGGGCUCGCGGCCUAUCAGUUUGUUGGUGAGGUGAUGGCUCACCAAGACGACGACGGGUAGCCGGCCUGAGAGGGCGACCGGCCACACUGGGACUGAGACACGGCCCAGACUCCUACGGGAGGCAGCAGUGGGGAAUAUUGCACAACGGGGGAAACCCUGAUGCAGCGACGCAGCGUGCGGGAUGACGGCCUUCGGGUUGUAAACCGCUUUCAGCAGGGAAGAAGCCCCUUGGGGUGACGGUACCUGCAGAAGAAGUACCGGCUAACUACGUGCCAGCCGCCGCGGUAA